This 487-nucleotide ribosomal RNA is filed under the name uncultured Rhodoferax sp. RNAcentral describes it as "bacterial SSU rRNA". It matches the Rfam family "Bacterial small subunit ribosomal RNA", at positions 91 to 572 of the family's 1533-position model. The record is from RNAcentral. Lineage: Bacteria; Pseudomonadati; Pseudomonadota; Betaproteobacteria; Burkholderiales; Comamonadaceae.
GCGAGUGGCGAACGGGUGAGUAAUAUAUCGGAACGUGCCCAGUCGUGGGGGAUAACGCAGCGAAAGCUGUGCUAAUACCGCAUACGAUCUCUGGAUGAAAGCGGGGGACUCGCAAGGGCCUCGCGCGAUUGGAGCGGCCGAUAUCAGAUUAGCUAGUUGGUGGGGUAAAAGCCCACCAAGACGACGAUCUGUAGCUGGUCUGGGAGGACGACCAGCCACACUGGAACUGAGACACGGUCCAGACUCCUACGGGAGGCAGCAGUGGGGAAUUUUGGACAAUGGGCGCAAGCCUGAUCCAGCAAUGCCGCGUGAGUGAAGAAGGCCUUCGGGUUGUAAACUGCUUUUGUACGGAACGAAACGGCUGCCCCUAAUACGGGCGGCUAAUGACGGUACCGUAAGAAUAAGCACCGGCUAACUACGUGCCAGCAGCCGCGGUAAUACGUAGGGUGCGAGCGUUAAUCGGAAUUACUGGGCGUAAAGCGUGCGC